AUACGGAGGAUGCGAGCGUUAUCCGGAUUUAUUGGGUUUAAAGGGAGCGUAGGUGGGAUAUUAAGUCAGCUGUGAAAGUUUGGGGCUCAACCUUAAAAUUGCAGUUGAUACUGGUUUCCUUGAGUACGGUACAGGUGGGCGGAAUUCGUGGUGUAGCGGUGAAAUGCUUAGAUAUCACGAAGAACUCCGAUCGCGAAGGCAGCUCACCGGGCCGGAACUGACACUGUUGCUCGAAAGUGCGGGUAUCAAACAGGAUUAGAUACCCUGGUAGUCCGCACAGUAAACGAUGAAUACUCGCUGUUUGCGAUACACUGUAAGCGGCCAAGCGAAAGCGUUAAGUAUUCCACCUGGGGAGUACGCCGGCAACGGUGAAACUCAAAUGAAUUGACGGGG
Molecule: ribosomal RNA, 393 nt
Filed under: uncultured bacterium
Lineage: Bacteria
Description: partial 16S ribosomal RNA
Rfam family: Bacterial small subunit ribosomal RNA
Source: RNAcentral